ACCCUGGGUGACAGCUGUGUGCUGAGACGGCGGGGGUUGGCGCCCUUGUAGGCUCUGAGGCAGGUGGCAGGGGCAGCUGGGCAAGUUCUGCCCAGGUCUUCAGACCCUGCUUGAAGCCCCUUGGUGAGGAGAGAAGGAAAGACUGGUUCUGAGAUCGCUCCAGAAAUCAGAAACUCUCAGCUUCCCAGCAGUUUUGCCAGGUGCUUAAGGAAGGUCACUUCAUGGCAAGUGCAGAAACCUCAGGAUAUUUUGGGAUCCUUAAGAAGAGAGGAAUUCACCCAAAUCUAUAGGUAUUGCAGAAAUGCCAUAUUAAAUACCUGAUUUCUCCUAACUUUGGGAACUCACCUUUAGGACGGCCUCCUGGAAUGAGACACAGCUGUUUACCUGAACUGACCUGUUCCCAGGACUGAGUGGCUGGUUCAGUGAGAUAGGGAGUAAUCUAUCAACUCAGCUUCUGGACUGUGAAAAUUCUUCAAAGUUUCAAAGAGUCUCUUCCAUACCAGACUUUAAAUCAAAGCAACAUGUUGUUCAAGUUUUCUGGAAGAUACUGCUCUACAAAUAUUAUCUGGGCUCUCUCUCUGCCCCAAGUUGAUGGAUUAUCAUUCAGCAACAAUUCCCCUCUCACUGUGGACACAAUGUACCCAUUGAUGUUGGGUGCAACCAGAUUUUAUUUAUUCAUUCGAGACACAGAGAUACAAAGAGAGAGAAAGAGCGUGAGCAGGGG
Molecule: long non-coding RNA, 724 nt
Organism: Zalophus californianus (California sea lion)
Lineage: Eukaryota; Metazoa; Chordata; Mammalia; Carnivora; Otariidae
Exons: 6
Source: RefSeq, a predicted model, not a curated record